RNAcentral lists this ribosomal RNA (374 nucleotides) under uncultured bacterium. RNAcentral's name for it is "bacterial SSU rRNA". It matches the Rfam family "Bacterial small subunit ribosomal RNA", at positions 29 to 416 of the family's 1533-position model. The record is from RNAcentral.
AACGAACGCUGGCGGCAGGCCUAACACAUGCAAGUCGAACGCCGUAGCAAUACGGAGUGGCAGACGGGUGAGUAACGCGUGGGAACAUACCCCUCGGUUCGGAAUAACUCAGGGAAACUUGAGCUAAUACCGGAUACGUCCGAGGUUUCAAUCGACCUUGGAGAAAGAUUUAUCGCCGGAGGAUUGGCCCGCGUCUGAUUAGCUUGUUGGUGAGGUAAUGGCUCACCAAGGCGACGAUCAGUAGCUGGUCUGAGAGGAUGAUCAGCCACAUUGGGACUGAGACACGGCCCAAACUCCUACGGGAGGCAGCAGUGGGGAAUAUUGGACAAUGGGCGAAAGCCUGAUCCAGCCAUGCCGCGUGAGUGAUGAAGGCC